GGAAUAUUGGUCAAUGGGGGAAACCCUGAACCAGCGACGCCGCGUGAGUGAAGAAGUAUUUCGGUAUGUAAAGCUCUAUCAGCAGGGACGAUGAUGACGGUACCUGACUAAGAAGCCCCGGCUAACUACGUGCCAGCAGCCGCGGUAAUACGUAGGGGGCAAGCGUUAUCCGGAUUUACUGGGUGUAAAGGGAGUGUAGGUGGCCGUGCAAGUCAGAUGUGAAAUCCCGGGGCUCAACCCCGUGACUGCAUUUGAAACUGCGUGGCUGGAGUGCAGGAGAGGUAAGCGGAAUUCCUAGUGGAGCGGUGAAAUGCGUAGAUAUUAGGAGGAACACCGGUGGCGAAGGCGGCUUACUGGACUGUAACUGACACUGAGGCUCGAAAGCGUGGGGAGCAAACA
RNAcentral lists this ribosomal RNA (399 nucleotides) under uncultured bacterium. Its description in RNAcentral is "bacterial SSU rRNA". It matches the Rfam family "Bacterial small subunit ribosomal RNA", at positions 358 to 774 of the family's 1533-position model. The record is from RNAcentral.